GACGAACGCUGGCGGCGUGCUUAACACAUGCAAGUCGAACGGAAAGGCCCUGCUUGCAGGGUACUCGAGUGGCGAACGGGUGAGUAACACGUGGGUGAUCUGCCCUGCACUUCGGGAUAAGCCUGGGAAACGGGGUCUAAUACCGGAUAGGAGCCAUUUUGAGUGUGAUGGUUGGAAAGUUUUUUCGGUUUAGGAUGAGCUCGCGGCCGCUCAGCUUGUUGGUGGGGUAAUGGCCUACCAAGGCGGCGACGGGUAGCCGGCCUGGGAGGGUGGACGGCCACAUUGAGACUGGGACACGGCCCAGACCCCUACGGGAGGCAGCAGUGGGGAAGGUUGAUCAAUGGGCGCAAGCCUGAUGCAGCGACGCCGCGUGGGGGAUGACGGCCUUCGGGUUGUAAACGCCUUUCGCUAGGGACGAAGCUGUUUGUGACGGUACCUAGAGAAGAAGCACCGGCUAACUACGUG
RNAcentral lists this ribosomal RNA (465 nucleotides) under uncultured bacterium. Its description in RNAcentral is "partial 16S ribosomal RNA". It matches the Rfam family "Bacterial small subunit ribosomal RNA", at positions 28 to 507 of the family's 1533-position model. The record is from RNAcentral.